CCACAGCUGGCUUUGUCCAUCAACAUUAAAUUUUACUCUUAGAUACUUUAUUUAACCUUUUAUUAAACAAACCAAAUUCAAAUAUUUUUACAAUGCCUUACUAGAGGGUUGCCUCAUCUGUAUCAUUUCUGGAGUGGAAGAAAUGGCUUCAGGUACAUGACUGAAGUUUAGCCAUGUCCCAUCAUAAAUGCUCCAACACCACCAGAGACAGCUGCAAUAACGAGAAGGGAAAUGUUAGAGAAGAGAUCCAGGCAAC
Molecule: long non-coding RNA, 256 nt
Filed under: Marmota monax (woodchuck)
Lineage: Eukaryota; Metazoa; Chordata; Mammalia; Rodentia; Sciuridae
Source: RNAcentral